Molecule: non-coding RNA, 478 nt
Organism: Pelmatolapia mariae (spotted tilapia)
Lineage: Eukaryota; Metazoa; Chordata; Actinopteri; Cichliformes; Cichlidae
Source: the annotation of a RefSeq genome assembly
AGAGUGCAGGAGGUUUUUGUACGGCCAUUUAAUGAGUUUGUAUCACUGUGGUGGACUUUUGGUGGAGGAACCAAACUCAUCGUUGACUCGGGUGUGGUGAGGCCCACUCUGACCGUGCUCCCACACCAGAGCAGUGGCACUCUGGUGUGUCUGGCCAGUGGGAGUUUCCCAUCAAAUUGGAAGCUGGGCUGGAAGGUGGAAGGCACCAGCACAUCCUCAGGGGUGUCAAACAGCUUGGAGGCCCAGGGUACAGACGGUCGCUACAGCUGGAGCAGCACCCUGAGCCUCUCUGCAGACCAGUGGAGGAAGGCGGGCUCAGUGACCUGUGAGGCCAGUCUGAGUGGACAGAGCCCCGUCACUCAAACCCUGGACCCUGACCACUGCUCAGAGUAGAGCUUCAACAAUAUUUCAUGGCUGUGAAGCGUUUUAUAUUUUGAUGAAGCUACAUGUCUCCUCUGUUGCGAUAUUUCUGCACAUG